RNAcentral lists this ribosomal RNA (253 nucleotides) under uncultured bacterium. RNAcentral describes it as "partial 16S ribosomal RNA". It matches the Rfam family "Bacterial small subunit ribosomal RNA", at positions 524 to 776 of the family's 1533-position model. The record is from RNAcentral.
UACAGAGGUCUCAAGCGUUGUUCGGAUUCAUUGGGCGUAAAGGGUGCGUAGGCGGCGCGGUAAGUCGGGUGUGAAAUCUCGGGGCUUAACUCCGAAACUGCAUUCGAUACUGCCGUGCUUGAGGACUGGAGAGGAGACUGGAAUUUACGGUGUAGCGGUGAAAUGCGUAGAUAUCGUAAGGAAGACCAGUGGCGAAGGCGGCCCACUGGUCCGGUACUGACGCUGAGGUGCGAAAGCGUGGGGAGCAAACAGG